This 88-nucleotide transfer RNA is filed under the name Streptococcus mitis B6. RNAcentral's name for it is "tRNA-Ser (GCT) (tRNA-Ser-GCT-2-1)". It matches the Rfam family "tRNA". Rfam says of the family: Transfer RNA (tRNA) molecules are approximately 80 nucleotides in length. Their secondary structure includes four short double-helical elements and three loops (D, anti-codon, and T loops). Lineage: Bacteria; Bacillati; Bacillota; Bacilli; Lactobacillales; Streptococcaceae. The record is from RNAcentral.
GGAGAAUUACUCAAGAGGCUGAAGAGGACGGUUUGCUAAAUCGUUAGGUCGGGUAACUGGCGCGAGGGUUUGAAUCCCUCAUUCUCCG